RNAcentral lists this ribosomal RNA (497 nucleotides) under uncultured bacterium. RNAcentral describes it as "partial 16S ribosomal RNA". It matches the Rfam family "Bacterial small subunit ribosomal RNA", at positions 28 to 507 of the family's 1533-position model. The record is from RNAcentral.
GAUGAACGCUGGCGGCGUGCCUAAUACAUGCAAGUCGAGCGAACAGAUAAGGAGCUUGCUCCUUUGACGUUAGCGGCGGACGGGUGAGUAACACGUGGGUAACCUACCUAUAAGACUGGAAUAACUCCGGGAAACCGGGGCUAAUGCCGGAUAACAUUUAGAACCGCAUGGUUCUAAAGUGAAAGAUGGUUUUGCUAUCACUUAUAGAUGGACCCGCGCCGUAUUAGCUAGUUGGUAAGGUAACGGCUUACCAUGGCAACGAUACGUAGCCGACCUGAGAGGGUGAUCGGCCACACUGGAACUGAGACACGGUCCAGACUCCUACGGGAGGCAGCAGUAGGGAAUCUUCCGCAAUGGGCGAAAGCCUGACGGAGCAACGCCGCGUGAGUGAUGAAGGUCUUCGGAUCGUAAAACUCUGUUAUUAGGGAAGAACAAAUGUGUAAGUAACUGUGCACGUCUUGACGGUACCUAAUCAGAAAGCCACGGCUAACUACGUG